CUCCAUUCCAGAGUACUACUGGCUGCUAAUUUGUUCCAGAGAACUACAAGCUGGUACUUCUGUAAGAUGCCUACAAGCUCCUAUAUGGUGGCACACACGUUGUCGAAAGUAUCAGUGCCAUGGAGAAGAAGUUUUUCCUCUGUUUUGCAGGGUGUGUGUGGAGGAAACCCGGAGCUCCCGGAGGAUACCCACACGGACACAGGGAGAACAUGCAAACUCUGCACAGAAAGGACCCAGACCGUCCCGUCUGGA
Long non-coding RNA from Trichomycterus rosablanca, 252 nucleotides. RefSeq lists it as uncharacterized. The transcript has 3 exons. The record is from RefSeq and is a predicted model, not a curated record. Lineage: Eukaryota; Metazoa; Chordata; Actinopteri; Siluriformes; Trichomycteridae.